This 253-nucleotide ribosomal RNA is filed under the name uncultured bacterium. Its description in RNAcentral is "partial 16S ribosomal RNA". It matches the Rfam family "Bacterial small subunit ribosomal RNA", at positions 524 to 776 of the family's 1533-position model. The record is from RNAcentral.
UACAGAGACUGCAAGCGUUGUUCGGAUUUACUGGGCGUAAAGGGUGCGCAGGCGGCCGGAUGUGUCGGGUGUGAAAGUUCGAGGCUCAACCUCGAAAUUGCGCCCGAAACUAUUCGGCUAGAGUACUGGAGAGGGAAGCGGAAUUCACGGUGUAGCAGUGAAAUGCGUAGAUAUCGUGAGGAACACCAGUGGCGAAGGCGGCUUCCUGGACAGUUACUGACGCUCAGGCACGAAAGCGUGGGGAGCAAAAGGG